Long non-coding RNA from Oxyura jamaicensis (ruddy duck), 1052 nucleotides. RefSeq lists it as uncharacterized. The transcript is spliced from 2 exons. The record is from RefSeq and is a predicted model, not a curated record. Lineage: Eukaryota; Metazoa; Chordata; Aves; Anseriformes; Anatidae.
UAAUGGAGAUGGAAAAGUUACAUAGCAUCAUCUAGUGGACAUGUGCAAAUGUACAGGAGCUUGCGAUUGCACUAUCCUUAUUCACUCAAAAUAUCUGGCACCAGUACUAACUACAAUGGAAAACGAGCUGCAGCCUCUAUUGCUGAGGAGAUCAGCAGCUCCCUUCAUCACCUGGAUGGCAUGAGGGAUUCGGCUCAUGGCUCCCCAUCCGAUCCUGCCGGAUGGUUUCCCUCGGCCUGGCACCCAGUGUGAGCAAGGUCCAUGUGGCUCCUCACUAAGGCCACGGUGCAGGCAGGGAGAGGACCAGCUCAGCUGGGACUGACUGCGAGUCACAGUGGCAGGAGGACAGAGAGCUGCAUGGGAGGCUGAGGGAGAGCUACACCUCUUCUUUUAACAAAGAUGAUGGCAAUUAAAUAUGAAAAUUAAACAUGACUCCGGUUGGGUAAGGUCAUGUGUCACAUUAGUUUCAGGAAAUGGCUCUAAGGGGAGGCCAAGGAUAUUUUGGAAGCUGAGCAUUUUUUCCCGUGAAGUGAGCAAGUCCACAGAGGUUCUAGUUUGACAGCACUUUCUGGGGACUAAAAUUAAUUCUUUUCAAAUCCAUUUAAAACACAAUAUUGGUUUCUCUUGUGUCCCUUAGAAAAUCCAAGGCCCAAUUCUGGGGCCUUGGGCCAAAUAUGGGCCCAUGCAUUAGAAAGCCCUGUCCUACAACAGUUGCUCACAUGUGUUCAGCAGUGUUUUCAUUCAUUUUCAUUAUUGUCCCAAGCAUGGGGACUUCUGUGGCACUUACAUUUAUGUUUCCUGUGUAAUAUAAGCAGGUACCAGCCAGCUACAGGAAGUAUCAUGGCACUAGUUCUCACAGGGUGGUAUGUGUGGGCAGGUACGUAGAUAGACAUGAGUAUUACAUAUGUAUUACAUAUAUUUCACAGGAAUCUUUAAGCACUGGACACUUGCAUUAUGGAAUUGAUAUCACUGUAUAUGAAAUUGUGGCAUGUGAAAAAUCUCAGAAGCAGAGUUCUUGGGAGCAUCCAGGUAUUGUAGUUUGUGAAGUGAUC